Molecule: long non-coding RNA, 406 nt
Organism: Penaeus chinensis
Lineage: Eukaryota; Metazoa; Arthropoda; Malacostraca; Decapoda; Penaeidae
Exons: 3
Source: RefSeq, a predicted model, not a curated record
ACACACACACACACACACACGCACACACACACACACACACACACACACACACACACACACACACACACACACCUUUUCCUUUUCUUCUUCAUCUCGUCCACGUUCCUCACUUAAAGGAGAUCAAACAAUCUUCUGAAAUAAAAAGGCAACGACAAGCAAGUUUACUGACAGAUUAAUUUCCUUUUCCAUCUCCAGCGGAGCUCUCAACAUGGAUAAGAUUACCAUUCUCUUCAUUAGCUUACUGGUGCUACUGCCGCUGGGGGUCGAGAGCGAGCCAUUAACGGCGUCUUUUGCCAUCCAUCCGGCUAUUUUGGCAGCCUUUCAGAUCGGGGCGGCGAACUAUGCAGACCGCAAGAGGAAAGAGGAAGAGAGGAAUCUUUUCAAAAAUGGAGACGAAAAAGAUUAA